GACGAACGCUGGCGGCGUGCUUAACACAUGCAAGUCGAACGAUGAAGUUCUCUUCGGAGAACGGAUUAGUGGCGAACGGGUGAGGAACACGUGAAGAAUCUGCCCUCCACUUUGGGAUAACUCCGGGAAACCGGGGCUAAUACCGAAUAUUGAAGCAUAAGCGGCAUCGCUGAGCUUUGAAAGAAUUUCGGUGGAGGAUGACUUCGCGGCCUAUCAGUUUGUUGGUGAGGUAAUGGCUCACCAAGGCUACGACGGGUAUCCGGCCUGAGAGGGCGACCGGACACACUGGGACUGAGACACGGCCCAGACUCCUACGGGAGGCAGCAGUGGGGAAUAUUGGGCAAUGGACGCAAGUCUGACCCAGCGACGCCGCGUGAGGGAUGAAGGCCUUCGGGUUGUAAACCUCUUUCAGUAGGGAAGAAGCGAAAGUGACGGUACCUACAAAAGAAGCACCGGCUAACUAUGUGCCAGCAGCCGCGGUAAUACAUAGGGUGCAAGCGUUGUCCGGAUUUAUUGGGCGUAAAGAACUCGUAGGUGGUUUGUUACGUCGGAUGUGAAACUCUGGGGCUCAACCCCAGACCUGCAUCCGAUACGGGCAGACUAGAGUGUGGUAGGGGAGACUGGAAUUCCUGGUGUAGCGGUGGAAUGCGCAGAUAUCAGGAGGAACACCAAUGGCGAAGGCAGGUCUCUGGGCCAUUACUGACACUGAGGAGUGAAAGUGUGGGGAGCGAACAGGAUUAGAUACCCUGGUAGUCCACACCGUAAACGAUGGACGCUAGUUGUGGGGACCUUCCACGGUUUCUGCGACGCAGCUAACGCAUUAAGCGUCCCGCCUGGGGAGUACGAUCGCAAGAUUA
RNAcentral lists this ribosomal RNA (857 nucleotides) under uncultured bacterium. RNAcentral describes it as "bacterial SSU rRNA". It matches the Rfam family "Bacterial small subunit ribosomal RNA", at positions 28 to 896 of the family's 1533-position model. The record is from RNAcentral.